AUUAUUCGGGCAUGCAGUAUAAAGAAAAAGAAAAGUUUAUGGUUAUAAAAAAUGGUUAAAAUAUAAAUAGUUGAUAAAAGGUUUAAAAAUCAUAUACUUGGGUACCAAUGUAUUUCAUUUACAGUUAGAGUCCAAUAAAUAAAAGGGUUUCAUGAUUUAGAGUUCAUGUACUGUGCAGAAGCAAUAUGUUUGGGUGUAACCUAAGUUUGUUUACCCAUCUAAUGUCAGUUAUCUUAAUGUUGUAUUGCCAUUGGUUGUUGUGCUGACGAGCCAGUCAAUGUCACUCUUCUCUGUUAUGGGGGCGGGACGAGUGGUAAAGGUUUGUGUGAAUCUGUGGGAGCGGACACAGAAGCUAAGUCCGAAGAGAGAGAUGUCGUAAGGCAAACGUGGUGUGGAUUUUGCAUCUAAGUGUAUCAUUGAGGUCGACUACCCGUGGUCCUGAUAUUACUUAUUUGUGAUCUGCAAGAGAAGCCGAAGGACGCUCUGGAAGGCGAGGGAGAGAGAGGUUUCUGCCCGGAUGGACCCUGCUGUUUUCUUGCCCCUGACUGUCUUCGCUACUGGUGAACUAACUGCUAACUGCCCGUUUCUGAUUGCCCCACUAACAAACUCAUUGGACUCGUGAGUACUAACUGGAACUAAAGUGCACGUAUUUUGUUUAUUGCUCAGUUUGAGUGAAGCGGCCAUCAGUUUUAGGCCUCACCGCACCCGAACUUCGAAUCAGGCCUGCAACAAGCACUGUGCUACAGGUGUAGUGUGGACAGGUUAAAGUGUGUGUGUGUGUGUGUGUGUGUGUGUGUGGGCCCACGGUUACAAAUCUGGUUUAAAUUGAGUAAGUGUGUAGUUGUAAUCAAAGUUAUUUACAAAGGUUGAAAUUCAUCCCUUUUCAAGGUGUGAGCUGUUGUAACUGAAAUAACACUUGGCUCCUAAGAAAGUUAUUUUGUUUUUGAAAAUCUUUUAUUUAUAACCCAUGUAGUCACAUUUACCGUGGUUUUCUUUGUUUAUUUGACUUCAAUUCAUUUCAUUUUAUAAAAGUAAGUGUUUAUUUUAUUUAUUUCUAUGUUGUCUAAAUAAAUACCCAGUGAGGGAUUUAAAUUUGUGUAAAAUACAGUUGUGGUGGUCCUUAUUAAUUAAUUUAGAGGGUAUCGGAUAUCAUUAUUAAUAGCACUACGAACCCAGGCCCAGUCUCAUUGUACUAAAUACUCUAGCUUUACCAUAGCUACGUGGGACCUGGGUUACAAAUAUAAAAGCUAUUCCUCAAGAUUCCUAGCGCUUAAAAGGACUUUUAAGGCGAGAUCUGCUAAGAGCAGGGAAGAGGACCUUUAGUGGCUUAAGAGUUCCCCUAAGCAGCUGCACAAAAUGGCCAACAGAAGAGGCAGGAGAGAUACCUUUAUGUUCUUUCACCAACUGGGCCAGCAACAAACCUUGCUCCUCAGUCCAGUUCGGCUUGCAAGUCCUUUUUUUUUUCUCCAUUUUCUGUGUUUGUAGGAUAUUUGUUAACAAGCCUUUAUAAAUAGACCAGCCAGCAAUCACAGACAUUGAUAAAAGCUGAGCCGUGUUACCCUCGUUAAGACCACACUGGACUUGUAACAUUGUGAUUUCUACUUCAUUAGCCCCUUGAGAUAGGCCAUCUUGUUUUCAAUGGGGUCCAUAUGGGAGUGAAAGUACAAAAUAUGCCAGCUAGGAUAUUAAUAUGAGCAAAUAAGACACAAAUCAUUAUUUGAACAGGGUGUAAUGGGUUUAAGUUUUCACAUAUUUUAGAUUCUAAUGUUAGGCUAAAACCCCUACAGCUUACUAUUCAUUUUCCAGAUAUUUUUUUGAAUGUGAAAUAUUAUUUACAAUUACAGUCAGCAUAAGAUUAGAGUGUAUAAUUAUGUUUAUUGAUUUGAGGGUACAUCCUUUGCUCAUUCUCACCAAAAGCACAUUUCCAUCAAACUUGUAGGAUCAACCAAUCACGGCUUUUGAAAUGAUGACUCAUACCUAGCAAUGGGGUCAACCACACCUCCUCACUAAGAUAGGAUUUUCCAUCCAUUCCUUGCUCAGAGUUCACUGAAAAUGUUCUGGAAUCACUUCUAAGCUAAAACUCCUGGCAAGGAA
Molecule: long non-coding RNA, 2094 nt
Organism: Oreochromis niloticus (Nile tilapia)
Lineage: Eukaryota; Metazoa; Chordata; Actinopteri; Cichliformes; Cichlidae
Exons: 2
Source: RefSeq, a predicted model, not a curated record